Molecule: ribosomal RNA, 300 nt
Filed under: uncultured bacterium
Lineage: Bacteria
Description: bacterial SSU rRNA
Rfam family: Archaeal small subunit ribosomal RNA
Source: RNAcentral
UCCUGGGCGUAAAUGAUGUGGGCUAGGUGCAAAGCUACCUAAGUGGUAGCUUGGUGCCGAUGGGAAGCCGUUAAGCCCACCGCCUGGGGAGUACGGUCGCAAGGCUGAAACUUAAAGGAAUUGGCGGGGGAGCACCACAAGGGGUGGAGGCUGCGGUUUAAUUGGAUUCAACGCCGGGAAACUCACCGGGGGCGACAGCAGUAUGAAGGUCAGGCUGAUGACCUUACCAGACAAGCUGAGAGGAGGUGCAUGGCCGUCGUCAGCUCGUACCGUGAGGCGUCCUGUUAAGUCAGGUAACGA